Molecule: ribosomal RNA, 460 nt
Filed under: uncultured bacterium
Lineage: Bacteria
Description: partial 16S ribosomal RNA
Rfam family: Bacterial small subunit ribosomal RNA
Source: RNAcentral
CCUACGGGUGGCAGCAGUAAGGAAUAUUGGUCAAUGGACGAGAGUCUGACCCAGCAAAGUAGCGUGAAGGAUGACUGCCCUAUGGGUUGUAAACUUCUUUUAUAUGGGAAUAAAACGUUCCACGUGUGGGAUUUUGUAUGUACCAUAUGAAUAAGGAUCGGCUAACUCCGUGCCAGCAGCCGGGGUAAUACGGAGGCUCCGAGCGUUAUCCGGAUUUAUUGGGGUUAAAGGGAGCGUAGGUGGAUUGUUAAGUCAGUUGUGAAAGUUUGAGGCUCAACCGUAAAAUUGCAGUUGAAACUGGCAGUCUUGAGUACAGUAGAGGUGGGCGGAAUUCGUGGUGGAGCGGUGAAAUGCUUAGAUAUCACGAAGAACUCCGAUUGCGAAGGCAGUUCACUGGACUGCAACUGACACUGAGGAUCGAAAGUGAGGGUAUCAAAUAGGAUUAGAUACCCGAGUAGUC